Long non-coding RNA from Zonotrichia leucophrys gambelii, 371 nucleotides. RefSeq lists it as uncharacterized. Lineage: Eukaryota; Metazoa; Chordata; Aves; Passeriformes; Passerellidae. The transcript is spliced from 3 exons. The record is from RefSeq and is a predicted model, not a curated record.
AGUCAGUUGGCUGCUGUGAGGAUAUGGAAGAGUUGGUGCCUGGAGGAGCUGCCUACAAGUGAAGUCAAGGAGCUCCUUCUCUUCUCACAAUGAUUGUGAUCAGAAAUUGGAGGAUGAGGGAAUGGUCCAGUAUUGUCCUUCUCAUACUCACAAAGAUUAAGCCAGAGAUUCACCAUGAAUCCAGCAAGAAAGUGGAAUAAAGAAGUGUUAAGGCAGGAGGAAGUAAGAGAGUUAUGGCCUGGAGGUGCCAUAAAUCCUGCUGCUCCAGAUGUGAGCCUGGGUAGGCAGUAAAGUCAGCCAAAUGGAGUGCACCUCCUCCCCAUGCAAAGCAGUGUCCUCUUGUAAGUCAUUAAAGGAAUUGUGAUUUAUCA